CAGUAGCCGCGGUAACACGAAGGGUGCAAGCGUUACUCGGAAUUACUGGGCGUAAAGCGUGUGUAGGUGGUUGUUUAAGUCUGUCGUGAAAGCCCUGGGCUCAACCUGGGAAUUGCGAUGGAUACUGGGCGACUAGAGUGCGGUAGAGGAUAGUGGAAUUUCCGGUGUAGCAGUGAAAUGCGUAGAGAUCGGAAGGAACAUCUGUGGCGAAGGCGACUAUCUGGGCCAACACUGACACUGAGACACGAAAGCGUGGGGGGCAAACAGGAUUAGAUACCCGGGUAGUCCCUGUCUCUUAUAC
This 301-nucleotide ribosomal RNA is filed under the name uncultured bacterium. RNAcentral's name for it is "partial 16S ribosomal RNA". It matches the Rfam family "Bacterial small subunit ribosomal RNA", at positions 509 to 807 of the family's 1533-position model. The record is from RNAcentral.